RNAcentral lists this transfer RNA (74 nucleotides) under Caudoviricetes sp. RNAcentral describes it as "tRNA-Trp". It matches the Rfam family "tRNA". From Rfam's summary of the family: Transfer RNA (tRNA) molecules are approximately 80 nucleotides in length. Their secondary structure includes four short double-helical elements and three loops (D, anti-codon, and T loops). Further hydrogen bonds mediate the characteristic L-shaped molecular structure. tRNAs have two regions of fundamental functional importance: the anti-codon, which is responsible for specific mRNA codon recognition, and the 3' end, to which the tRNAs corresponding amino acid is attached (by aminoacyl-tRNA synthetases). tRNAs cope with the degeneracy of the genetic code in two manners: having more than one tRNA (with a specific anti-codon) for a particular amino acid; and 'wobble' base-pairing, i.e. permitting non-standard base-pairing at the 3rd anti-codon position. Lineage: Duplodnaviria; Heunggongvirae; Uroviricota; Caudoviricetes. The record is from RNAcentral.
GCGUCUUUCGUUCAAUGGUAGGACUAUGGUCUCCAGAACCAUCAAUUAGGGUUCAAAUCCUUAAGGACGUGCCA